This 274-nucleotide ribosomal RNA is filed under the name uncultured bacterium. Its description in RNAcentral is "partial 16S ribosomal RNA". It matches the Rfam family "Bacterial small subunit ribosomal RNA", at positions 523 to 796 of the family's 1533-position model. The record is from RNAcentral.
AUACGGAGGGGGCAAGCGUUGUUCGGAAUUAUUGGGUUUAAAGGGUGCGUAGGUGGCGUGUUAAGUCAGUGGUGAAAGCCUGCAGCUCAACUGUAGAGGUGCCAUUGAUACUGACAUGCUUGAGUAUGGACGAGGUAGGCGGAAUUUGUGGUGUAGCGGUGAAAUGCAUAGAUACCACAAAGAACACCGAUAGCGAAGGCAGCUUACUGGACCAUAACUGACACUGAGGCACGAAAGUGUGGGUAGCGAGCAGGAUUAGAAACCCGAGUAGUCC